AUUAUUAAAUAUUUGUUCCCAAUUUAGAUACUUUUAGACUAAUCAAGUCACCCCUUAACUUUCACUUUGCUCAGCUAAAUAGGUUGAGUUCCUUGAGACUCACUAUAGGCAUGUUUUCAAUCCUUAGUUGUCAAAUGCAGAAAUAAAGUAACCUUUCUACUCUUGCUCAAGAUUCCCAUGUUUAUGCACCCCAGGAACACAUUAGCCCUUUGGCCACAGCAUCACACUGCGAGCUCGUGUUCAGCUGAUUAUUCACAGUGACCCCCAUAUUCUUUUUCAGAGUCUGUUUUUCCCAGGAUAAAGUCCCCCAUCCUGCAAGGAUCGAUCACAUUCUUUGUUCAUAGAUGGAUACAUUUACAUUUAGCCAUAUUAAAAACCUAGUUUGCUUGCACCCACUUUGCCAAGUAAUCUAGAUCACUCUGAAUCCAUGACCUCUUUAUUCACAACUCCCCCAAUUUUUGGGUCAUCUGCAAACUUUGUCAGUAAUGAUUUUAAUAUUUCCUUUCAGGUCAUUGAUACAGAUAUUAAAUAGCUCUCCAUGGGCUAUGAGCAGUGUUACAAGUGCCAACGGUUACAAGUUACCAUACAACUCUUUCUAAACAAAGACAUUUAUUCUUAAGGUAAAAGCAUUACAGAGAAAAACAGAUUUAAGCAUACUGUGAACAGAUCAGGAGGUGCCCAUCCAUCUUAUGGGGUCCUAGCUGGCCAAAAUCUUUCCAACCCUUCUGCAAGAGUUGCGGCCCCCCUUUGGGCAGAAGGGCCUCUCUAUUUGCUAACAGAAAGUCAGCCCUAAGUCAGUUUAAGCUUUUUAUAUCAAAAGUGUUUUCUUUGUCUGUUGGUCUCUGGACAACCCAGUUUGAACCAGUGGGUAUACCUCUCUGGAUGUGUUUACAACUUAAGUGAUUCAACUUAGUAACCUCUGUUUUUGGUUCCUGGAGGUACUAUGGUAACCCUCCAUCAAAAGUUGCAUAAAAUCCCUGAUCCACAGCAAUUGAUUAGCUUAAUACAAUACUGUCCUCAAAUAUAUUGCAUGGGAUUACAAUCUCCCCCAGGCCCUUGAAAGUGAACUGGGGAUCUUGUGAAUCUAGAGACUGGAGAACUACCUGAGGGAGAUCCAGCCAGUAGACCUAGGACUGCUAUGCCUAAAGUCUCUGGAAACAGAGAGUUGUGUGCACGGCAAAGAAUGUAGACGCUGCCAUAAGACCCAGCAGCUCAAGGCAGGAUCUUAGGUGCAUCAGGGGUUGGGACCAUAGGUGGGACUAGAGGUCAUGCACCAUCCAGAACCUGUCAAGUGGUAGUUAGGCAGUUACUCCAUGGAGAGGCUAUAUGGUCCCAAUGAAUUAUGUGCCAUACAGUUGUUAAUGUGGAUUUCUUCUCAUUCCCCAGCAGACCUAGAUGUGCAAACAGCUGGAGAAUGGACAGGAUGUUGACUCAGACUGAGAUUUAGUGGCCAUGACCAGCCACUUGCUUAAGCACAAGAUCAUCUGGAUGUCAGUCCUUCCAACAUCUCUUCAUGUAUCACAGGCUGCAGAGAAGAAACUGGGUGUCGCAGAGCGGUUCAACCCUUUAUACCCUUGCGAGCACAUGAGAGGAAGAGCACUUGGACUGCCCCAAAAGACGCUCCUGACUAGAAAAUUCUCCAGUGUGAGCACACCAAAUGAGUAAUCACCAACUGUGGAAUAUCAGUACAGCCUAACACUCAAAGAACUGGCUUGUCCUAGUUGCUGUUCAGUCCUAGAUGUCACGAGGUCCUGUGUGCGCCUACCCGAGAACAUCCUGCCAUCUCACUAGCCAAGGACAGAGAAGCUUUUUUUGAAGCCAAGAUCUUCCACCAUCUGGAAAAAAAAAAUCUGUACGGACAUAAAACUCUUCUGCUGCCAAACCACAAAGUGCAGGGUAUGUUCAGCACAGCACUUGCUAUCCCAUUUGGCUUUAGCAAUUCUAGAAUGUAUGGUAAUGAGAUAUCACAGAGUUUAAUUAGGGUAAAAAGUAAUAUCGGGUUUUAUAAUUAACUCGAGAUGAAGUUGCCUGCUGUUUUUGCAUAUAUUCUGCUUUUAAUCCAAAAAAUUAAAUCAGAUUUUUUUUAUUUUUAAAAAAGGCUUAUGACAAAGCAGCAUGAGAGAUUUGAAGAGACAGUUACCUUACUUAUUGGUGCAGAUCAGUAUGACAAUUCACCCAACAUCAUUUGUAACCUAGGAAGCUGAUAUUUAAGGAAAAACUUUUUUCGGAAAAAAAAAAACAAACAAAACA
Dermochelys coriacea (leatherback sea turtle) is the source of this 2250-nucleotide long non-coding RNA. RefSeq lists it as uncharacterized. The transcript has 2 exons. The record is from RefSeq and is a predicted model, not a curated record. NCBI's taxonomy places the organism in Eukaryota, Metazoa, Chordata, Testudines, Dermochelyidae.